This is a transfer RNA of Camelus ferus (Wild Bactrian camel), 72 nucleotides long. It matches the Rfam family "tRNA". From Rfam's summary of the family: Transfer RNA (tRNA) molecules are approximately 80 nucleotides in length. Their secondary structure includes four short double-helical elements and three loops (D, anti-codon, and T loops). The record is from Rfam. NCBI's taxonomy places the organism in Eukaryota, Metazoa, Chordata, Mammalia, Artiodactyla, Camelidae.
GAGGGUAUAGCUCAGUGGUAGAGUGUGUACUUAGCAUGCAUGAGGUCCUGGGUUCAAUCCCCAGUACCUCCA